RNAcentral lists this ribosomal RNA (422 nucleotides) under Aegopis verticillus. RNAcentral describes it as "partial 16S ribosomal RNA". It matches the Rfam family "Bacterial large subunit ribosomal RNA", at positions 1844 to 2628 of the family's 2925-position model. The record is from RNAcentral. Lineage: Eukaryota; Metazoa; Mollusca; Gastropoda; Stylommatophora; Zonitidae.
UAUAAGUCUUAUCUGCCCAGUGAUUAUUUUAACGGCCGCAGUACCUUGACUGUGCUAAGGUAGCAUAAUAAAUUGACCUUUAAUUGAGGCCUGGAAUAAACGAAUAUACGGAUAAAAGCUGUCUCUUGAGUAAUAACACUUAAGUUACUUAUGAGGUGAAAAUUCCUCUUUGAAUUUAAUAGACGAGAAGACCCUGGGAGUUUUCCUAAUUUUGCUGGGGCGGCAUUUUUACACUAUAAACUAAAAAAAAUAAUAAAUCGAAUAUUGCUAGUUUAAAUUAAGCUACCCCAGGGAUAACAGCAUUAUCUAAAAAGGUUUGUGACCUCGAUGUUGGAUUAGGAACUUUUCAUAUUAACCAUAUUUAAAGUUAGUUCUGUUCGAACAUUAUUACCUACAUGAUCUGAGUUCAAACCGGAGCUCCA